AACGAACGCUGGCGGCGCGCCUAAUACAUGCAAGUCGAGCGAGAAGACGUAGCAAUACGUUUGUAAAGCGGCGAACGGGUGAGGAAUACAUGGGUAACCUACCCUCGAGUGGGGAAUAACUAGCCGAAAGGUUAGCUAAUACCGCGUACGCUCCUUGGACUUCGGUUCAGGAGGAAAGCGAUACCGUGGGUAUCGCGCUCUUGGAUGGGCUCAUGUCCUAUCAGCUUGUUGGUGAGGUAACGGCUCACCAAGGCUUCGACGGGUAGCUGGUCUGAGAGGACAAUCAGCCACACUGGCACUGCGACACGGGCCAGACUCCUACGGGAGGCAGCAGUAAGGAAUAUUGCGC
Molecule: ribosomal RNA, 349 nt
Filed under: uncultured bacterium
Lineage: Bacteria
Description: bacterial SSU rRNA
Rfam family: Bacterial small subunit ribosomal RNA
Source: RNAcentral